GCUUGUCUCAAAGAUUAAGCCAUGCAUGUCUAAGUAUAAACUGCUUAUACUGUGAAACUGCGAAUGGCUCAUUAAAUCAGUCAUAAUUUAUUUGAUGGUACCUACUACUCGGAUAACCGUAGUAAUUCUAGAGCUAAUACGUGCGCACAACCCGACUUCUGGAAGGGUCGUAUUUAUUAGAUAAAAGGCCAGCCGGGCUCUGCCCGACCUGCGGUGAAUCAUGAUAACUUCACGAAUCGUAUGGCCCUGUGCCGACGAUGUUUCAUUCAAAUUUCUGCCCUAUCAGCUUUCGACGGUAGUGUAGUGGACUACCGUGGCGUUAACGGGUAACGGAGAAUUAGGGUUCGAUUCCGGAGAGGGAGCCUGAGAAACGGCUACCACAUCCAAGGAAGGCAGCAGG
This 400-nucleotide ribosomal RNA is filed under the name Chlamydomonas reinhardtii. Its description in RNAcentral is "partial small subunit ribosomal RNA". It matches the Rfam family "Eukaryotic small subunit ribosomal RNA", at positions 30 to 432 of the family's 1831-position model. Lineage: Eukaryota; Viridiplantae; Chlorophyta; Chlorophyceae; Chlamydomonadales; Chlamydomonadaceae. The record is from RNAcentral.